Long non-coding RNA from Eleginops maclovinus (Patagonian blennie), 1022 nucleotides. RefSeq lists it as uncharacterized. The record is from RefSeq and is a predicted model, not a curated record. NCBI's taxonomy places the organism in Eukaryota, Metazoa, Chordata, Actinopteri, Perciformes, Eleginopidae. The transcript is spliced from 2 exons.
ACUUCCUGCUGAUGUGUCUGACUUUGUCUUCAACACACACACACACACACACACACACACACACCCCUGAAUACCUGAGCCAGUUGUGGCCUGUGUGUGUGAGGAGGCAGGGGGACGUGUUGUGACUCGGUGUGAAUCCUCCUCAGAACAAACAGUACACACAGUACAUGAAGUACCAGAGUAUUACUACAUCAGACUGCAGCAGAAUACACACGCUGUUCAGGCCAACAGCGAGAGUACACACUCCACUUCAGCAGUCUGAAUAUCAAUAAACCAACAAACACAUACAUGUAGCAUGAUGAGCAUUAUCAGUGACAGACAGCAGAGGGAGGGCUGUGUGUGUGCGUGCGCGCGCGUGCAAGGGGAAGGGUGUGGUGUCUCAGUCCGGCAGGUUUAUACAAGCCAGCAUCUCUACAUUAUGCAUACCCCUGGGGAAAACACACACACACACACACACACACACACACACACACACACACUCUCCCUCUCUGUUUGUAAGAAGACAGGAAGUUGAACCUCAACCCAAACUGAAAUCUUUAAACACGUGUCAGUAAAGUUUCUGUGCUCAAUGUUCUGUUCUUAUUCAGCUCUGCAUCGUUGGCCAUCGGGAGCAGCCCUCUCCUGGUGUUGUGUGACUUUAUAAGGUCCAAGCCGCCCUGAGGAGCGCCGGCAGCGAACCCUUGUGACCCUGAAGACACAGCUCAUCUUUAUUCACAGGAAAGGUUGGGCAGUUGCGACCCAGGUUCUGCUAGCAUCUGGCUAAUGAAAGCCGAUUGGUCAAUGAAGAACUCACGACUGGUUACGACCGAAGAAUACGCUUUGUGGUACCUGUCCACAGAACAUCAACAACGCUCUUAGGGUGCCAACCGCCGUUAAAAGAGAAGAAGAAGAAAGCUCUUAAGGAGGACUCUGAAAGGACAUUACAAUCGAACUUUUUUAUUUGAUUAUGGUCAACUUUGGAUGUACUGAUCCUACCACACACAUACAUUGUAUUGUAAAAAUAAAUUUGAAAGUUAACUGAU